This 72-nucleotide transfer RNA is filed under the name Camelus bactrianus (Bactrian camel). It matches the Rfam family "tRNA". Rfam says of the family: Transfer RNA (tRNA) molecules are approximately 80 nucleotides in length. Their secondary structure includes four short double-helical elements and three loops (D, anti-codon, and T loops). The record is from Rfam by way of RNAcentral. Lineage: Eukaryota; Metazoa; Chordata; Mammalia; Artiodactyla; Camelidae. RNAcentral also lists the same sequence under 1 other name.
GAGGGUAUAGCUUGGAGGUAGAGUGUGUGCCUAAUAGGCACAAGGUACUGGGUUCCAUCCCCAGUACCUCCA